AUGAACGCUAGCGGCAGGCUUAAUACAUGCAAGUCGUGGGGCAGCGCAGGUAGCAAUACUGGGCGGCGACCGGCAAACGGGUGCGGAACACGUACACAACCUUCCUACAAGUGGGGAAUAGCCCAGAGAAAUUUGGAUUAAUACCCCGUAACAUAACGAUGUGGCAUCACAUUGUUAUUAUAGCUUCGGCGCUUGUUGAUGGGUGUGCGGCUGAUUAGAUAGUUGGCGGGGUAACGGCCCACCAAGUCUACGAUCAGUAGCUGAUGUGAGAGCAUGAUCAGCCACACGGGCACUGAGACACGGGCCCGACUCCUACGGGAGGCAGCAGUAAGGAAUAUUGGUCAAUGGACGCAAGUCUGAACCAGCCAUGCCGCGUGAAGGAUUAAGGUCCUCUGGAUUGUAAACUUCUUUUAUCUGGGACGAAAAAAGGCGAUUCUUCGUCACUUGACGGUACCAGAUGAAUAAGCACCGGCUAACUCCGU
RNAcentral lists this ribosomal RNA (482 nucleotides) under uncultured bacterium. RNAcentral's name for it is "bacterial SSU rRNA". It matches the Rfam family "Bacterial small subunit ribosomal RNA", at positions 29 to 506 of the family's 1533-position model. The record is from RNAcentral.